GUGCAGUCGCUAUGCGUUCAAAUGCAAUAAAGAAGCUAUGAACACUAGACUCACAGAAAACUGGAAACAGGUGGAUGUUAUUGCUCACAAACGAGCCUCUGGACACCUGUUCACCAACAGAUGUAGGCCCAGUGCUCGUCAGCUCCAGCUGAUUCAACUGGAACGCCAUUUCAGCCUGAAGACAACCACCACACACCUGUGCCAAUUCUCUCACAGGCUAGCCAACAAUUAAUGGUAACCGAACAACUUCCUCUUCUUGACCAACUUACUUUUUGCUGCACACACAUUAACAAAUACAACGUACCCAGUUCCUAAGCACACCAAACUAUACCUACCUAUCUUCUGGAGCGUGCUGGGCUCGAGGCAACUUUAAAGGCAAAGCUUCAGCAACUGGAGCACUGAAUUGCCUACCCCCAACAGGGAACUAAUCCCCACCCAGGAUUACUCCAAAAAUAAGAAAGACAAAAUAAUAAAAGAGUGCCCGAAGGAAGAACUUAAAAAGCUCAGCUGAACACUCACCUAACUUAACUGGGAAGGUGUAUUUCUACUCUUCUCAAAAAGCAACACAACCAUCACACAAAAGCCAAAAAAACAAAAAAAAAACAAAAACCCAAACACCACCAAUUUCAAACUCCCUUUUCAGAUCCCGGACGAGCCCCCACUUGUUACGUUUCCCUGAGGGGUCUAGGCGGUGAGGGGGCAGUAACAAAAAGUGUCCGGGUCAGAAAAAGGAGACAAGAAGGCAUGAGGGUUAAAUUAAAGAGUUUUAUUAAAGUAGCUCAACUAAAAGAGACGGACAAGCCGCUUUCACCAUUUAAGAAAAACAAAACUCAGGCGUUGGUCAAUAAAGUAAAACGUAAGCCAAAAAGAGCAGCUCACUAACUGUAACCACUCACAUGGCACUCUGGCCCAGAACUCACCUUUCCCUGGGCUUAAAUCUCUUUAAUUACUGACGAGAGUCAGCUGCACAAAAGGGAAAGGUGGCACCUCAGGCAGAAGAGGUAGUGGGACACGCCCACACAGGCACCUUCAUUUAUUAUAACUUAAACAAUAAAAUUAUUUUAAUCUGCAUAACUGCUGCUGACGGCAGUCACAGAGGUUUUCGGGCCUUUCAACAAUCAGACCCCCUUUCCCAGGUG
This is a long non-coding RNA of Astatotilapia calliptera (eastern happy), 1139 nucleotides long. The record is from Ensembl. NCBI's taxonomy places the organism in Eukaryota, Metazoa, Chordata, Actinopteri, Cichliformes, Cichlidae.